This 400-nucleotide long non-coding RNA is filed under the name Rattus norvegicus (Norway rat). RNAcentral describes it as "long non-coding RNA NONRATT018714". The record is from RNAcentral. Lineage: Eukaryota; Metazoa; Chordata; Mammalia; Rodentia; Muridae.
GCUCUGGCCAGGAUUUUGAUGGUGGACUUUGCUUUCUCUAGCAGAAAGAUGAAGGGAGCCUUUUGUGUAAUAUCUCAGUAACAUUUCUCCAAAUAGUAAAGGAAGCAGGGAUUGGUUUUUAUGUAACCAGCUGCCUCUCCAGGGCCUAGAAGCCACAUGUGGUCAGUAGCUGAUGCGCUCCGCCACCAGGAGGGGUUGCCACAGAGUAGAGGCUAUGUCGAGCAUAACUUCCUACCACCUGUCUUUGAGGCUGCCUGUCUGGGGUGCCCGGUGGUAAGUGAGCUCAUGUCCCCUAGGUACAAUGCCAGAGAAUUCUACGAGCGCCUGCCUGAGCUGAGGCAGGCUGUGGAUCAGAUCAGCAGUGGCUUCUUUUCUCCCAAAGAUCCAGACUGCUUCAAGG